GACGAACGCUGGCGGCGUGCCUAAUACAUGCAAGUAGAACGCACAGUUUAUACCGUAGCUUGCUACACCAUAGACUGUGAGUUGCGAACGGGUGAUUAACGCGUAGGUAACCUGCCUGGUAUCGGGGGAUAACUAUUGGAAACGAUAGCUAAUACCGCAUAAUAUUAAUUAUUCCAUGAUAAUUAAUUGAAAGGUUCAAUUGCACCCCUACCAGCUGGACCUGCUUUGUAUUUGCUAGUAGGGCAGGUAACGGCUCACCUAGUCGACGAUACAUAUCCGACCUGGGAGGGUGAUCGGCCAACCUGGGACUGAGACACGGCCCAGACUCCUACCGGAGGCAGCAGUAGGGAAUCUUUGGGAAUGGACGAAAGUCUGACCGAGCAAAGCCGCGUGAGUGAAGAAGGUUUUCGGAUCGUAAAGAUCUGUUGUAAGAGAAGAACGGGUGUGGGAGUGGAAAGUUCACACUGUGACGGUAUCUUACCAGAAAGGGACGGCUAACUACGUG
This 505-nucleotide ribosomal RNA is filed under the name uncultured bacterium. Its description in RNAcentral is "partial 16S ribosomal RNA". It matches the Rfam family "Bacterial small subunit ribosomal RNA", at positions 28 to 507 of the family's 1533-position model. The record is from RNAcentral.